This 401-nucleotide ribosomal RNA is filed under the name uncultured bacterium. RNAcentral describes it as "partial 16S ribosomal RNA". It matches the Rfam family "Bacterial small subunit ribosomal RNA", at positions 338 to 754 of the family's 1533-position model. The record is from RNAcentral.
CCUACGGGAGGCAGCAGUGGGGAAUAUUGGGCAAUGGGCGCAAGCCUGACCCAGCAACGCCGCGUGAAGGAAGAAGGCUUUCGGGUUGUAAACUUCUAUUAAGAGGGAAGAGCAGAAGACGGGACCGCUGGAAUAAGCCAAGGCUAACUACGGGCCAGCAGCCGCGGUAAUACGUAGGUGGCAAGCGUUGUCCGGAUUUACGGGGUGGAAAGGGCGUGGAGCCGGGCUGACAAGUCAGAUGUGAAAUCCGGGGGCUCAACCCCCGAACUGCAUUUGAAACUGUUGGUCUUGAGUAUCGGAGAGGCAGGCGGUAUUCCUAGUGUAGCGGUGAAAUGCGUAGAUAUUAGGAGGAACCCCAGUGGCGAAGGCGGCCUGCUGGACGACACCUGACGGUGAGGCGC